GAUGAACGCUGGCGGCGUGCCUAAUACAUGCAAGUCGAGCGAACGGACGAGAAGCUUGCUUCUCUGAUGUUAGCGGCUGACGUGUGAGUAACACGUGUAUAACCUACCUAUAAUACUUGUAUAACUUCGUGAAACCGUAUCUAAUACCGGCUAAUAUUUUGAACCGCUUGGUUCAUUAGUGAAAUACUGUCUUGCUUUCACUUAUAGAUUGAUCCGCGCUGCAUUAUCUAGUUGGUAAGGUAACGGCUUACCAAGGCAACGAUGCAUAGACGACCUGAGAGGGGGAUAGGCCACACUGGAACUGAGAAACGGUAAAGACUCCUACGGGAGGAAGCAGUAGGGAAUCUUACGAAAUGGGCGAAAGCAUGACGGAGCAACGCCGAGUGAGUGAUGAAGGUCUUCGGAUCGUAAAACUCUGUUAUUAGGGAAGAAAAUAUGUGUAAGAAAAUGUGCACAUCUUGACGGUAACUAAUAAGAAAGCAACGGCUAACUACGUG
Molecule: ribosomal RNA, 497 nt
Filed under: uncultured bacterium
Lineage: Bacteria
Description: partial 16S ribosomal RNA
Rfam family: Bacterial small subunit ribosomal RNA
Source: RNAcentral